This 497-nucleotide ribosomal RNA is filed under the name uncultured bacterium. RNAcentral describes it as "partial 16S ribosomal RNA". It matches the Rfam family "Bacterial small subunit ribosomal RNA", at positions 28 to 507 of the family's 1533-position model. The record is from RNAcentral.
GAUGAACGCUGGCGGCGUGCCUAAUACAUGCAAGUCGAGCGAACGGACGAGAAGCUUGCUUCUCUGAUGUUAGCGGCGGACGGGUGAGUAACACGUGGAUAACCUACUUAUAAGACUGGGAUAACUUCGGGAAACCGGAGCUAAUACCGGAUAAUAUUUUGAACCGCAUGGUUCAAAAGUGAAAGACGGUCUUGCUGUCACUUAUAGAUGGAUCCGCGCUGCAUUAGCUAGUUGGUAAGGUAACGGCUUACCAAGGCAACGAUGCAUAGCCGACCUGAGAGGGUGAUCGGCCACACUGGAACUGAGACACGGUCCAGACUCCUACGGGAGGCAGCAGUAGGGAAUCUUCCGCAAUGGGCGAAAGCCUGACGGAGCAACGCCGCGUGAGUGAUGAAGGUCUUCGGAUCGUAAAACUCUGUUAUUAGGGAAGAACAUAUGUGUAAGUAACUGCGCACAUCUUGACGGUACCUAAUCAGAAAGCCACGGCUAACUACGUG